GUUGUUGAUGAAGAUGAGAUGGUUGGUUACAUCUUGAAUGGUUUAGAUUUUGAUUAUAAUCCUGUCGUGUCUUCCAUUCUUGGUCAUGCUGAUCCUGUCUCUAUGAGUGAUCUUUAUGCUCAAUUGUUGUCCUAUGAAA
Panicum virgatum (switchgrass) is the source of this 139-nucleotide small nucleolar RNA. RefSeq annotates it as small nucleolar RNA Z247. The record is from RefSeq and is a predicted model, not a curated record. The transcript has a single exon. NCBI's taxonomy places the organism in Eukaryota, Viridiplantae, Streptophyta, Magnoliopsida, Poales, Poaceae.